AUGAGUGAGCUUAAAUGAUUUUUGAUGGGAGUAUGGUAGGCAUAUAUUCAUUUGUCUAGUUCUCUAUAUUUCUCUGCUUGAAAAAUGGUUCAAUGUGUCUAGGCAAUAAGUUGGUAUUGGAAAGGUGAAACAGUGAUUUGUAACUUGUAUUUCUUGCAAUACAUUCAUGAAUAGGAAGGUGAGACAACACCUCAACAAACAGAAGGAUCAAAAAUGAAAUUCUCUUGUUUGUCUGUUUGGUGUUUUUGGUUGGGGGGUUGGUUGCAGAAGCAAACUAAUCUUGCAAUACAUUCAUGAAUAGGAAGGUGAGACAACACCUCAACAAACAGAAGGAUCAAAAAUGAAAUUCUCUUGUUUGUCUGUUUGGUGUUUUUGGUUGGGGGGUUGGUUGCAGAAGCAAACUAAUCAAUUUUCCAAGAACUUUGGAUCUUUCUUAUAGAAGUUUUAUUCAUAAAUGAAAAAUAAAAAAUAAAAAAAAAAUCCUUCACACAAUUAGUUUUGAAUAUACACAACUACACAAAAAAUUGCAUUUUUCUAAUAGAACUUUUAUUCAUA
RNAcentral lists this long non-coding RNA (555 nucleotides) under Vitis vinifera (wine grape). RNAcentral's name for it is "long non-coding RNA (VVIN_LNC001981)". Lineage: Eukaryota; Viridiplantae; Streptophyta; Magnoliopsida; Vitales; Vitaceae. The record is from RNAcentral.